Long non-coding RNA from Cynoglossus semilaevis (tongue sole), 622 nucleotides. RefSeq lists it as uncharacterized. The record is from RefSeq and is a predicted model, not a curated record. The transcript is spliced from 2 exons. Lineage: Eukaryota; Metazoa; Chordata; Actinopteri; Pleuronectiformes; Cynoglossidae.
UUUCAUUUAUUUUUAACAGUAAUUCCAAUAAAUUGACCAAUAGAAAUAGAAACAAUAAAAAUAAAUAUAUCAAAGUUUAUUUGCCUCACUGUCCCUCCACUCCUGCCCUCCCCCAGUUAUUUACCCCCGUUGUGACCCCCUGACCUGACCUCAUGACCUUGGUUCAGGUUCAGCUGCUGUUAGUGUUUUUUUUGUUUGUUUGUUUGUUUUUUUUAUAGCAGACCAAGAUGAGAUGAUACUCCGCCCUCUUUCUGCCCCCCGCCCCUCAUCUGUCAAACGUUAAUUUCUGCCCUGCAGCUGAAGGUCAAAGGUUAACGUUUUAAAGGAGGAGGCGUGGCCGCAGAUUGACAUAGUGCUUUAUUGAAGCUGUCUGUAAGAAGGAAAAUAAUGUUCAUCCCAUCAUAAACAUCUUCAUGUGUAAAAAUACUCAGGAUGUACAGUUUAAAAAAAACAGCUUCAUGUCGAUGGUAAUCGGUUCUUGUCACAUGACGGCGGCCUCAACCUGACAUUGGGGACACAUUAGAGACGCUGUUGGAUCUGCUCAGUCCUCCCAACACCGCCCUGGAGACCGAAGGCGUCUCCGCCACAGCAGUGCAUCAUGGGAACGUGGCUCGUCUCUCUG